Molecule: non-coding RNA, 24 nt
Filed under: Arabidopsis thaliana (thale cress)
Lineage: Eukaryota; Viridiplantae; Streptophyta; Magnoliopsida; Brassicales; Brassicaceae
Source: RNAcentral
ACGGUUGGCUCAAUGCUGCCUAGU